Long non-coding RNA from Bos taurus (domestic cattle), 1057 nucleotides. The record is from Ensembl. NCBI's taxonomy places the organism in Eukaryota, Metazoa, Chordata, Mammalia, Artiodactyla, Bovidae.
ACUUGGGUCCCCGCCGCUCGGCGCGGGAGGCCGUGGGGGAAUCCGCCCGCGGGGGCGUGGACGGCGGUUGCAGCCCGGGACCGCUAGAUCCGCUGGGCGGAGGCGGGGGUGCGCCCCGGCGGCGUCUGCUACGCAAUGUGCGCCUGGCUCAGUCAGUCUUUGGAAUCAUUAUCAUCCCACUUUACAGAUGAGGAAGGGGGCUGAGGCUCGGAAAAGCGAACUCAGGCGCAAAACUCAAGCUGAAAUAAUCUAAUCCAGUGCUCUUAACACGGUUCUCACCAUCAAUUUGCCCUUUUGGAUCAGGCACAAAACCGAGUAUCAGCUCCAGUAAGGCCUUUAAAGUUUACUUGGAAAGCUCCUUCCCGCCUCAGGGCCUUUGUACUCAAUGUUCCCUCCAUCUGGAUCCUUCUGCCUCCUGGACUUCCUAGGGCUGGCGUCUUAUCAUGCAUCUCCAGAGUGAUCCUUCCUGCACAAGUUGCCCUACUUAAUGCCCUUCCUACCAGCCAGCACAAAGGAGCCAGAUGGCCUGGGUUUGAAUCUCGGCUCUGCUGCUUAUUAGCUGGGUGGCAUUGGGCAAGUUACUUAACCUUUCUGUGCCAGUUUCCUCAGCUAUAAAUGGGGCUGAUAACAAUAGUGCCUAGCUCAUAGAGUUGUAGUAAGGAUGAUACUUUCUAAAAAUGUGUUGCCCGUGUUAGAUGCUUUAUAAAAAUGUGCUGUUAUUCACAGAGCACUCAUCCCAUUCUGAAAUUAUCCCUAUUACUGAUUUACUUGUUACCCCAAUUAGAAUGUGAGCUCUGGACUUCCCCGGUGGUCCAGUAGGUGGGAGUCUGCCUGCCAAUGCAGGAGACACAGGUUUGAUCCCAGGUCCAGGAAGAUUCCAGAUGCCGCAGGUCGUGUGCGCCACAACUACUGAGCCCUUGCGCCCUAAAGCCUGAGCUCUGCAACAGCAGAAGCCACUGCAAUGAGAAGCCCACGCACCUCAACUAGAGAGUAGCCUCGUUCGCCACAACCAGAGAAAGCCGGCCUGCAGCAACGUGAAGAUCCCACCCAACCAAAA